UAACGACCACCUGCGAUGGGAGAAGUGUUUGGCGGUGAACAGAGUUAAUGUACCCUGAACGCCGCAGCCUCGCGUCGGCUUCGCUAACGUCCGCCAUCCUGCUCGAGGGACGUCCCCCGGGCCGCCCCUACGUGCUGCGGGCAUGUUGUGGACUUACAGACGUACAGAAAGCCUUGGCCUGUGGCCCAGCGAUGCUAACGUGCCCAGAUGUGGACAGACUGCGGCCAUCGGAGGACAUCGGCUCGUGUUCUGAGGUAACACAGCGGUCAGCAGCAGGACGGGCCCACCCUGACUGGGGUCAGGCGGUACGCCCCCACCCUGACUGGGGUCAGGCAGUACGCCCCCACCGAUUCGGAGAGGAAGCGAGACGGGGACAUACUGUAGGAGGAUGACGCAUAGCCUCUGGGGUCCUCAGGUGCAUGCUGGGUAAAACAGAGACCCCCCCCCCGUUACCGUGACGCACAAGCCGCAGCUGGGGGACGUCGCCAAGCGGCUCCGAGGAGUGGAGACGGGGUCAACGAGCGCGUCAGACGAGACGAAGACGAGCUUUGUGUGUCCUGCGGGGCGUGUCCGCCCAGCACCUGGCCUCUUCUCCUCUCGCGUCGGUUGAACAGGUACGCUACAGGCCGGAGGCUACAAACGGGGGUGCCCUGGGGCGGGGGAAGCGAGCCAAGCCGUACCCCGCGUCGCCCCCCCCCUCGCCCCACCACCCCCUCGCCUGCAGGCUCACAGAGAUCUCUCCCAGCAGCCCUUCUCCAGACCGUUCUGUAAGCGUCUGAAGUGCGCUGCGCUUCGCUGCGGUCCUGUGGAAGAGGAACGGGCGGCAGGUGCAGCGUCUCUCCCUCCGAUGGCACAGAUCCACGGCACAGAUCCACAGCCCGCGUCUGAGGUGGGCUUGUGUUCCCGCUUUGCCUGGCCGUGGGCGCCGAGCGCUCAGAAAGCACACAGUGAUGCGGUUUCCCUGGAGACGGCUGCUAAGCACCCUCCCAUCAGUGAAACGCGCAUUCGCUCUCGCCCCGUCCUGGGCUGCGUCCAGGCCUGAACGCGUUAUAUAAGACCCAAAAAUGUUAGUGGAAUUCACACUGUGUACGUGCGCU
Anguilla rostrata (American eel) is the source of this 1097-nucleotide long non-coding RNA. RefSeq lists it as uncharacterized. The transcript is spliced from 5 exons. The record is from RefSeq and is a predicted model, not a curated record. NCBI's taxonomy places the organism in Eukaryota, Metazoa, Chordata, Actinopteri, Anguilliformes, Anguillidae.